This is a non-coding RNA of Chelonoidis abingdonii (Abingdon island giant tortoise), 107 nucleotides long. The record is from RefSeq and is a predicted model, not a curated record. Lineage: Eukaryota; Metazoa; Chordata; Testudines; Testudinidae.
GGGUGGAAGCAUCAUAGAUAAGGAGCUUAGGAGCUUGUCCUGAUUUCUGUUGGUACCAGGCUAUGUUCCUGUAAUGCUGGAACUGGCUUUGCAGUUGAUGGUGACUC